UUAUGCCACUGGGUGACAGAGCAAGACCUUUUCUCCAAAUUAAAAAAGAAAAAGAAAAAGAAAAGAAAAGAAAUGGAGGGGCUGGAUUAUGCAGGUAAACAAAAAAGCCUCCUCUCCACCUUCAUCCUCCUCCUCUAACCAGAGAUACAUCCAUGGGCCCCAAUCUCCCAAGCACCAGUCACCACCAACUUCUUACCCCCAAGAAAGAGAACAGCCUCAGGGGACCCCCCAACCUCAGCACUCUCUCUGGGCCUCUGCAGUCUCACACAACUCCGUAGCUUUCGCAGGGCCGAGAGCCGAGGGACCUGGUUGGGAUCAGGGCCCACCCUUCUGCAAGGCUGGCCCUGACCUUAGGCCAAGUCCCAGCAAUGUAGCACUGUGGGUAGCAUCCAGGCCUCCAAGCAGCAGACAGACCACUGCUAGCAAGGGAUCUGGGUGCGUUUAUUACCAAAGCCUUGGUUUCCUAGCUUGACAAGUAAACAUCCCAACAGAGAAACUACUUUGUAGUGUUGCUGGACACAUUAAUGAAUUAGUGCUAUGUGCCUGGUAGUGCUUUAAAGACAUCAAAACAUCCAAUUCAUAAUAUCCAGAUGAGGUAGGUACUGCUGUUGUUUCCCUUUUACAGAUAAAGAGAGGGUAUCAAAGAGAGGUUAAGAGAUGUGCCUAAGGCCACACAAGUGGCAAAUGUUAGAACCAGGAUUCCAGCCCAGGGAGUCUGGCUCCAGAGUCUAAACUAGUUUUACUAUGCAAAUGAGUGUCUUUACAAUGCAUGUAAAGUCUUCAACGCAAUGCCAGGAACAUAUUAAAAGCUCAAUAAAUAGUAGCUGAUCCUCUUGGCUGCUGGGAUGCCUCAGUAAAGCAGAUGGUGGCCACCCAGUGCUCUGUGUACAAACCUCAUCUCCCUCCUACACCAACAGCCUUAUGAAUCAGGAGUGUGCCUGUCUUGUCCACCUUUGCAUUCCAGCAGGCCCCAGCAUCAUGCCUGUAGCUCUCUGAAAACCUGCGGAUGUAUAAGAUGACACCCAUUUAUCAAGCACCCACUGUGUGUGCCUUUAUCUCAUUCAACCCUCCCACUGCCUCAUGGGCAAGCUGGGCAUUUCAGCAUCUUGGCAAAGGGACACCGCCCUUCCACCAGGAUAUCGGUGGAGGCCCCUGGUCUGCAGCCCAUUCCCCUUCUCUUGCCAUCCCCAUCCAGUCAUUGUAGCAAGGGGCCUUGCACAUAAGUAUGGACACCCCAGGCUGCAUAUUUGAGCUCCAGCCAUGUCCACAUCUCAGUCACAGCUGGCCAUUCUCAGCCAAGGCAUGGGCAUACAAGUGGCCCUAGGGAAGAUGAACCCUGUGCAGGCCCUGGGAGCUAGCAAAGGGGCAUUUGGGCAGAGAAUUAUAGAAAAGGAAGGAUCUGGGGGUCCAGGGGACAUGUCCCUUUUUCCCUGCAGACCUCUUUCCCCAUUGGGGAGCUGCAGCCAGAGUGGGAGCCUCUUGGAACAUAUGACCUUGUCUCUUUGGCCCAGAGCUGAUGUCUUAUGCUAUCCCAAGUGUGAGCUGUUUUGGUCUCAAAAGAAAAGUCCCUUCCUCUUCCCUUCAGGGAAAAAUACUGAAGAGGGCAGGAGACUGGUGGUUUGAGACCUACCCCUUAGAAACCAUGUGAUCCUGUGCCGUGACUGACCUUCCCAGCCUUGUGUGUACAAAAUGAAGACAAACACCUACCUCACCACCCUGUUGGCAGGACUCAAAGGAUGACAAAGUGCCAAGCAAAUCAAUGUUUUCUUAUGGAUAGCCAGGGAGGUGAAUAUAAUUCAGGGGAAACAGCCCUGGGCCUAUGGAAAUGGUCAGUCUGUUCUAGGAAUAAUACCUACCUAAAGGAUGCUGUUAAGGACUGAAUAAGUGUGUGUGCAAAGGCACCUGGCACCCAGGAAGAACUCAAAAACUAUUCAUGGUAGAGGUGGUGGUGCUGGUGACGACCAUUCCUGGUGGUGCUGGUGGUGCCAGGCACCUGCAGAUAUUUGGCUAAAUUACAUAUUUUAAUGAUCACAAUAACCAAAGAGGUGUGUUCCUAUAAUGCAGAUGGAAAAAGCAGGGCCAAGAUCACAGGGUUCGUGAGUGAACAGUGAGGCCGGAAACACACGCCUGUCUGUCUGCAUUCUAUUCCUCUUCCCACCACACUCAGCACCACCUGACUGGCUGUCUUGCAGACUCUGGGGAUAAUUCAUUCACAACACUCUUACCUGCUCACAAUAAGAAGCCUGUUCACAGCACCCAGGCCAGAUCAGCCAUUGAGACAUUUAUACUAGAGAUAGUGGGCCACCUGCUUUGCCAACAGAUACACAAGAGCUCCUUGUGUUCCCGUCCACAUCAACUCGGCUCAUCAAAAAACCCAUCCCAGGGAAAAUGAGCUUGCUGAUAAACCAACUAAGCAUAACAAAAAAUACCAGCAAACUUUGAGGCACUUUACAAGGAAAGUCACACCCAAGUACUUGUUGGACCCAAGAAGACUCAGGUAGCAAGGCAGGGAGUAGCUCACGACAGCCACCCGAACAGUCACUUCUAUUUAGUUCUCGAAAAUAAUGGAAAACAAACUCGGUUUUCACAAGUGGUAUGUUGUGUACACUGAGUCCACAUCAGGUGUUCUUGAAUUCUCUGAUAAAUAAAAACCACAAGCAAUUGUGGCACCACCGGGCUGGAGGGAAGCACCGGCUUGCACCUGUCAUUAGGAGCAGCCUGGGGCCUUAUGGGGCAGACCCUUUUCCUGAACUAGUGGUGUUGGAGUGAACACCUUCCAGGUCCCCAGGGCUCGCUCCUCACCCUGAAAAGAUUAAAUCAUUUAUUUGCAUAAGAAAAUAUCUAACCCAAAUACAGGAGGCACAGGCGGGCACAGGGCGCUGUGGUUACAAUACAAGCAACAUCUGGACCUGCAAACUCAUGAUGCUGCUACAAGAAGUGCGUGCAGGGAAGGUGUUCCACGGCACAGCAGGGGAAACAGAUUUUGUAGAAGAGGUCAAGGUGAGGAUGGAGCCUCAACAGAAUCUUCAAAACCAAAAGGCAAGUUGCAGUACCAGCCGACCCUCCGCCAUGCAGAGACCGCUGCAGACGCUGAAACACCCUCCUCACCGUCAGGCUGGCUUGUCCCCGGGCGUCUGAACAAGCCAACCUGACAGGAUGGGUACUCAGUGGAGGACACUCUCUGAGAAGACUGAGAUGGUGGGGAAACCCACUCUCCAGGGCUGACUUCCCAUGCAGCUAUUUGAAGAAAGAGCUACCCUGGAGAACCUUAGUCACUGCUGCGGUUGUAGAGAAGACCGAGCACAGGAGUAGCUCCUCGCGGAGGAGGGACACAGACCACACUCCCAGCUUCUUGGUGACCUCCAAGGGAACCAGUUGGAACAGCAGCAAAUGCGCUUUUCCUCUGGCUUUUGCUCACCUCGCUGUGCACCCAGCCCAGAUACAUUCCACACUUACUCAUAGAGUAAAGCAAGCCAGGUAUGAGGCAGUUACAAGCUAGCAGUUUUUUAUGUGAUUGAUUCUGUCUUCUCUGGAGAUGCCCCAAGAUUCUCUGGAAACAAUUAGGGCUCAGUAUUUCCUAGCCAAGGAGCAAGCUUCCAGGAAAUGAGCAAGUGAGCCUCCAAUUGUAUAUGUAAAUGUAAAUUGUGUAUGUAGAUGUAAAAACAGCAUGCACGCCCCUCCACCCCCAAGCCUUUUUCAUUUCCAAGCUUUUCUCUAAAUCACCAGGAUCCAAAUACCUCCCACCCAGCACCCAUCCCCACCCUCCUCCUCAGCCUUGGGCCCACAUCUGUCUUCACAAAAGGCGCCUCGCUGGCCUGCACCACAGAAAACAUCCAAGCCCAAGGUACACAGGGUUUGUGUCUAAAGGGUUUUUAUUGGAGAGCCUGUAGUGCUGAAGUGCCACCAAGGAUUUGGAAGGUCACUCUCAGCAGCUGCCACUUCUACCAGGACCAGUGGCGAGCACCUGGCAGAUGGAGCCCGGGUAUUUCCGCGUAAGGCAGAGGAAUCCAGCUUUUCCAUGAGGUUCAGCUGCAGUGGUCGAAAACCCUGUAUGAGCCAGCAGUUCCAGUUCAAAGGUUGAGGGGGCGAACAGCUGCGAGGUGGCUGGGCUCCCGUGAGUCACCACUCAGGCCUGAGUACACCGUGGAGAGGAGAGAUAAAGCAGCCACGGCUGUUCUGUUGCCAGUCCCACCCCUCUGGCAAACAGAUGGGGGAAAACAGAGAAGGAAA
Molecule: non-coding RNA, 4230 nt
Organism: Macaca mulatta (Rhesus monkey)
Lineage: Eukaryota; Metazoa; Chordata; Mammalia; Primates; Cercopithecidae
Source: RefSeq, a predicted model, not a curated record